RNAcentral lists this unclassified non-coding RNA (1536 nucleotides) under Hevea brasiliensis (rubber tree). The record is from RNAcentral. Lineage: Eukaryota; Viridiplantae; Streptophyta; Magnoliopsida; Malpighiales; Euphorbiaceae.
CAACUUUUCAGCGGCAUGACAAUUUCUUCGUUUCUUGAAAACUCCUAUGAAAGAUUUGUGUCAUUAAAAAGAAAAGAAAAAGGAAAUAUAGAUGAAAGAAAAUAUAUACGUGGCAAAUACUUAUUUCUUUAGAAUAAAAGAGAAUAUAUAUGACCUCAAUGCUUCAAUGUGUGUUAAUGUGAGACUAUGUAUUAGCAUUAAACAACAUUUAGUAUUAAGUAAUUUACAUCAAGAUAAAGACAGAAUUUUUAUCUCUAGAAGCCUCUUCCUCUUAGCCUCUUGGAAAAGCUGAGCGUCAUCUUCGGUGGUUUUUCCUUAUCUUUCAGGAUAAGGGAAGGCUUGCCUCCGACUAGGUUUUUUAGGGUCCCUCUCUUUUCUUGGUUGGUUUGUAUAGUUUUGUUUUGUGUUUCGUUUUGCACAUCUGGGUUCUGACUGGUGAGGAUGGUUUGAAAGAGGAUCUGCUUUGAGGAAGAGGUGGUUUGAUUUGUUGUGUGGUUCCUGCUUCCUCGGUUUCGUUUCCCCUAUUUGGUGUUUGGCUUGUUGCUUUUGGAGAAGUUGUGGAAAGGUUGGUGAUUUGUAGAUCUAGCGUUUACAUGAGAUAGUUGGCGUCCAUGGUUAUAGGAGACUACGAUGUCAUGGCCCUGCCUUUCUUUCUCCUAAAGCGAUAGUGGUGAGUCCUGUGAGUUUAUCUUGAAGAGUUGAUCUGUCUUUGCUUUGGUUGUGGAGUAUCUUCUUCCUAGCUUUGGCUAGUUUAGUUAUGACUGCUAGUUUUUGGAGGAUGGUCUCUACUGAUUUGGCUCUGGUGGGUUACUCUUGCUCGGUUCUACUGGACGAUAGUACCGUGAGAGUUUUCGGAUUGCUGAGCCUAGUUUGCUGUCAAGAAUUGGGCUUGUUGUGGGGCCCCUACAUUGGGUAGGGUUGUGUUCUGAGUAAGGCCUUGUUGAAUGUAAUUUGCUCUUUUUGAGUUCCAAUGUAAUGAAAUGUGCAAUUAAAAAAAAAAGAAGCAUUUAGUGUUAGAAAAGAAAAGCAUAUCAUAUUUAUUUGAUAUUUCUCAUAUUAUUAUUAGAUAUUUUAUGAAAUAUUUAUAAAAAUGUCCGAACUUAAAUUUAAUUUAUUUUUUUGAAUUUUCGUUUGCCGGGUGAAUGGAUUACUAAGAAGACUGCUGGAUCUACCAAGAAGGCAAUAAUGGACGAGACUCAAAACCAAAGAAUCUUGGAGUGAAGAAAUUUGGUGGGCAGGUAAUUUUUUUGGCGAUGAAAAUCGCUUGCGUUUGUUAUGCUAGACGCACAGGCUUAGCGGCCACAAGUGGGUGCAUGUUGAACCCAAGGAUAGAUAUAAACUUCACCCAGUCUAUGAAAAAGCAAGUGCUGCCUCAUCUCAGCUCAAGACACGCUCUUGAAUUGUAUUUUUAGAUGCAUCUAUAACUUGGUUUUUCACAUUUGAAUAACUAAAACAGUAAUAUUUGGAAUCAAUCUUCAUAUUACUUCGUACUAAUUCAAUUUUUUUGAGUGAGACUGUUGGAACUGUGUCUUGUUA